RNAcentral lists this ribosomal RNA (512 nucleotides) under uncultured Bacillota bacterium. RNAcentral's name for it is "bacterial SSU rRNA". It matches the Rfam family "Bacterial small subunit ribosomal RNA", at positions 97 to 605 of the family's 1533-position model. The record is from RNAcentral. Lineage: Bacteria; Bacillati; Bacillota.
GGCGCAAGGGUGAGUAACACGUAGGCAAUCUGCCCAGAGGACGGGAAUAACUUCGAGAAAUCGAGGCUAAUGCCCGAUGAUUUUCCGAUAUAGCAUUAUAUUGGAAUUAAAUACCGUAAGGUGCCUUUGGAUGAACCUGCGUCCCAUUAGGUAGUUGGUGAGGUAAUGGCUCACCAAGCCGACGAUGGGUAGCUGGUCUGAGAGGACGAUCAGCCACACUGGAACUGAGACACGGUCCAGACUCCUACGGGAGGCAGCAGUGAGGAAUAUUGCGCAAUGCCCGAAAGGGUGACGCAGCGACGCCGCGUGGAGGAUGAAGGCCCUACGGGUCGUAAACUCCUUUUGUGAGGGAAUAAUUUCUCGCUACAGGCGAGAUUGAAUGUACCUCAAGAAAAAGCAUCGGCUAACUACGUGCCAGCAGCCGCGGUAAUACGUAGGAUGCUAGCGUUGUCCGGAUUUACUGGGUGUAAAGGGAGCGCAGGCGGGUUGGUAAGUCGGUGGUGAAAUUCUUA